GGACGCAGGCGGGGUCCGAUCCGUGACUAUCUCGCUCGCCAAACGAGAGCGCUAACCACUGCGCCAUUGCCGC
Molecule: non-coding RNA, 73 nt
Organism: Oesophagostomum dentatum (nodular worm)
Lineage: Eukaryota; Metazoa; Nematoda; Chromadorea; Rhabditida; Strongylidae
Source: the annotation of a GenBank genome assembly